AGCUUUUUGAAUUUGUGUAAAGAUUUCGUCAGACACCAACUUAUUAGGUCUGAUCAAACUUCCAAGAUAAGUGAAGUU
Non-coding RNA from Schistosoma mansoni, 78 nucleotides. The record is from Rfam. Lineage: Eukaryota; Metazoa; Platyhelminthes; Trematoda; Strigeidida; Schistosomatidae.